Molecule: ribosomal RNA, 434 nt
Filed under: uncultured Lachnospiraceae bacterium
Lineage: Bacteria; Bacillati; Bacillota; Clostridia; Lachnospirales; Lachnospiraceae
Description: bacterial SSU rRNA
Rfam family: Bacterial small subunit ribosomal RNA
Source: RNAcentral
ACGGGAGGCAGCAGUGGGGAAUAUUGGACAAUGGGGGAAACCCUGAUCCAGCGACGCCGCGUGAGUGAAGAAGUAUUUCGGUAUGUAAAGCUCUAUCAGCAAGGAAGAAAAUGACGGUACUUGACUAAGAAGCUCCGGCUAAAUACGUGCCAGCAGCCGCGGUAAUACGUAUGGAGCAAGCGUUAUCCGGAUUUACUGGGUGUAAAGGGAGCGUAGACGGAAGGCCAAGUCUGAUGUGAAAACCCGGGGCUCAACCCCGGGACUGCAUUGGAAACUGGUCAUCUGGAGUGCAGGAGGGGUAAGCGGAAUUCCUAGUGUAGCGGUGAAAUGCGUAGAUAUUAGGAGGAACACCGGUGGCGAAGGCGGCUUACUGGACUGUAACUGACGUUGAGGCUCGAAAGCGUGGGGAGCAAACAGGAUUAGAUACCCUGGUA